RNAcentral lists this ribosomal RNA (468 nucleotides) under uncultured bacterium. Its description in RNAcentral is "partial 16S ribosomal RNA". It matches the Rfam family "Bacterial small subunit ribosomal RNA", at positions 28 to 507 of the family's 1533-position model. The record is from RNAcentral.
GACGAACGCUGGCGGCGUGCUUAACACAUGCAAGUCGAACGGAAAGGCCCUGCUUUUGUGGGGUGCUCGAGUGGCGCACGGGUGAGUAACACGUGUGUAACCUGACCUUGACUUUCGGAUAACUUCAGGAAACUGGGGCUAAUACCGGAUAGGAGCUCCUGCUGCACGGUGGGGGUUGGAAAGUUUCGGCGGUUGGGGAUGGACUCGCGGGUUAUCAGCUUGUUGGUGGGGUAGUGGCUUACCAAGGCUUUGACGGGUAGCCGGCCUGAGAGGGUGACCGGCCACAUGGGGACUGAGAUACGGCCCAGACUCCUACGGGAGGCAGCAGUGGGGAGUAUUGCACAAUGGGCGCAAGGCUGAUGCAGCAACGCCGGGUUCGGGAUGACGGCCUUCGGGUUAUAAACCGCUUUCGCCUUGGACGAAGCGGGAGUGACGGUAAUGGGUAAAGAAGCACCGGCUAACUACGUG